AAACUUGAUGAUGAGGACCUCGUGUCCUACAUACUUGCUGGACUCGACGCCGACUUUGAUCCGGUGGUCUCAGCAGUCGCAGCCCGUGUUGAACCCAUCUCCGUCGGUGAGCUAGUCAUCCAACUGACAAGCUUCGAGC
Leersia perrieri is the source of this 139-nucleotide small nucleolar RNA. It matches the Rfam family "Small nucleolar RNA Z247". Rfam says of the family: Z247 is a member of the C/D class of snoRNA which contain the C (UGAUGA) and D (CUGA) box motifs. Most of the members of the box C/D family function in directing site-specific 2'-O-methylation of substrate RNAs. The record is from Rfam. Lineage: Eukaryota; Viridiplantae; Streptophyta; Magnoliopsida; Poales; Poaceae.